Molecule: ribosomal RNA, 308 nt
Filed under: Conraua goliath
Lineage: Eukaryota; Metazoa; Chordata; Amphibia; Anura; Petropedetidae
Description: partial 12S ribosomal RNA
Rfam family: Bacterial small subunit ribosomal RNA
Source: RNAcentral
AAUUACGAGCCCAGCUUAAAACCCAAAGGACUUGACGGUGUCCCAUCCACCUAGAGGAGCCUGUUCUAUAAUCGAUACCCCCCGCUAUACCUAACCAUUUCUAGCCCUCAGCCUGUAUACCUCCGUCGCAAGCCUACCCUAUGAAUGAACUACAGUAAGCCCAAAGGCCCCCCGCCAACACGUCAGGUCAAGGUGCAGCUUAUGAAAUGGCAAGCAAUGGGCUACAAUUUCUAACUUAGAACAAACGGAAGACUACAUGAAACACAGUCGUGAAGGCGGAUUUAGUAGUAAAAGGGAACAGAGUGUCC